Sceloporus undulatus (fence lizard) is the source of this 537-nucleotide long non-coding RNA. RefSeq lists it as uncharacterized. NCBI's taxonomy places the organism in Eukaryota, Metazoa, Chordata, Lepidosauria, Squamata, Phrynosomatidae. The record is from RefSeq and is a predicted model, not a curated record. The transcript has 3 exons.
AACUUAUGUAAGAGGGACAAGCUAUCCAAAAAAGCCUGUUGUCAUCACUGCAGAUAUGUUAGUUAACUCUUUGCAUUACAUGCAAAGAGAUAAAAACUGCCCCUCUAUCCUUUGGAUAAAAGGACACAUAACUAGUGUGAGUCCAUGCCCUCCCCCAGCUUUGGACUACGUUUAAAAGAAAGAGCUAUCCCCCGGUGAAAGGCAAGAGUAUAAUCUAUCCUGGAAGCACCGAUCCCCUCUACUCUCUCAUCCAUCCAGCCUUAAGAGUGAGCACAAAGAGCUAUGUAUGCUGGAAUUUUGCAAGUUAAACAGCAGCUGCCUCUAGAAUGCAGAUAAGGCUGCAUCACCAGUUUCUCCCGACAUGAUAAAGAAGCACACAUCUAUAAGUAUGGCAAGCAAAAUGGAAAUCAUGAGAAAAGUGGAAGCUUGUGAAAAAAAGUCAUCCCUGGAUGCAUUUUGGGAGAAGCUUUCAAGUGGUCCUUAGAAGUUUUAUGUGUCAUUUUGCAUAUGCAUAUUGUUAAAUAAAAUGUUUGCUGA